CUGCUGUAUAAUAGCAGCCCUCAGCCCACUGCCAGGUACCUGGCUGUAGAUUCAUAUAGAUGAAGCUACUCUGUGGCAAAAAGUUGACGUAGACCACUCCGCGAAUAUCCUUGUACGAUCCCAUUUGGUGCUCAUGGCCUGCUGAAGACUGAUGUUGGAACAGAAGAGCUGAGAAACACACCUGCCCCUACCUCAAGCCCUGCACCAAGUAAAAGUCAGCAGCAAUAUACCCUGGGGAAAGGGCUAGAGUGUGGCUGGAGAUCUUGCUGAAAGCUGGAGGUGGAGGAGGAAUACAAAGAUAAGAUUUUAGGACUCCAGGCUUCACAACUCCUUCUACAUCUGUUGUUCAAGGUUCAGACUCAAUAUGCAACUAAUUUAUGAAGCCCGUUUAGACCACAACAACCCUGAUGCAAGAUGUUCUCCACUAUGUUAAGAUGCAGCAUGAAGCCCUUACCAGAAGCUAAGAGUAUUCCGUUAGAGCAACACAAAACAGACUAAGACAACUUGUUCAUUACUGAUGUACAGAUUUCACUGACCAGCAACACUCCAGUGAAACUGCAGUCAAAAUUUAUGGAGUCUGCAGUAAAUAUGAAGCUAAAGUAACAGGCAAUGAAGAGCUCACCUGCUGCCUCCAGGGCUGCUUAACAUGCUGCAACCAGGCUGAAUGGUGCAUAUUGGACUGGAACCUGGAUCCUUGAGUAAAUGAAAGGAGAAAAGCCCCUAUCCAGUAUAUCAGAUUUGUGUAAACCAAAAAAUAAACUUUCAAUAUGGUAACUAAACUGGAAUAACGCAUAUGACGGGGGAGAGUUCCCUGACCCUCUUGCGAGUCUUGCCACAGGGAGGGUGUGGAGGGUUGGUGGUAGCUUGUUUUGCUUUGUUGCUGAACUCAAGCCCCUUGCAGGAGUGGGAGCAUGCAGCACUCUCCAGGAAAAGCUGCCUGCUAGAUAACAUGAAGACACGCCAGCAGCCUCAUGGGGGUGGAGGGAAGAGAGGCCUCAUGGUGAGGGACUGAGGCCUCCUACUAAAAGCCAGCACUAACUUGUCAGGCAUGAAAGUGAGCCACCUGGAAGCACAUCUUCAGCCCCUGUGGACCCUUUAGAUGACUGCAGGCCCUGCUGACAUCUUGACUGAAACCUCAUGAGACAGCUAGAACCAGAAUCGCCCAGAGAGAAGAACAUCAAAGGUGCGGGUUUAGGGCCCAGAAAGCCACUGGCCCCUUAAUAUCCAGAAAAGGACAAAAACUCACGGGAGUCAAGCACUGUUUGCCUGGAAGAAGAAAGAUAAAGACACAGACAAGCCCUGCUCCCCCACCAGCCAAAACUACUAUUCUACCUGUUUCCUGAUUCUGACCCACGUAUAUUCACUUGUUUCAUCAUUUUCUCAUUCAAAAAUAUAUUCAUUCAAUUAAUAAUGAUUUACUGAGUGUGUAUUAUGUAGCCAGUGCUUGCAUGGAACUCAGAUUACAGCUGGAAAUGAAACAGAUCUGGUCUUACACCCUCUGUACAUCUUCUUCCUCCUGUUACCACUCUAUCCUGUCUUCAACCUCAACUUCACUACUAAUUUCAUACUUAA
Molecule: long non-coding RNA, 1572 nt
Filed under: Homo sapiens (human)
Lineage: Eukaryota; Metazoa; Chordata; Mammalia; Primates; Hominidae
Description: HSALNT0102579
Source: RNAcentral